UGCGGAAGGAUCAUUGUCGAAUCCUGCACGGCAGAACGACCCGCGAACGUGUUUUACACAUCCGUAGGGGUGCGUCCGGCCUCGGUCGUCGCCCUCCCUACCGCGGGGAUGGGGUGCGGGCGGACAACCCGGUCGUCCCCUCGUGCCCCGUCCCCCAAGAACAACCCCCGGCGCUGGAUGCGCCAAGGAAUCGUAAUCGAUAAAAGGAAGGAGCGAGCCCCCCUCGCACGUCGGGAACGACGAUCGCGAGGGGUGGCCCGGCAUCCUCUCAGAAUCCAAACGACUCUCGGCAACGGAUAUCUCGGCUCUCGCAUCGAUGAAGAACGUAGCGAAAUGCGAUACUUGGUGUGAAUUGCAGAAUCCCGUGAACCAUCGAGUCUUUGAACGCAAGUUGCGCCCGAAGCCUUCGGGCCGAGGGCACGUCUGCCUGGGUGUCAUGUGCAUAGUCGCCCCGGCCCCCCACCCCCGUCCGGGGAACGGGUGCCGGGGCGGAAGUUGGUCUCCCGUGCGCUCCCGCUCGCGGUUGGCCCAAACAAGAGUUCUCGGCGGCGAACGCCACGGCGAGCGGUGGUUGAACGACCCUCGGAUGUCGUCGUGAGCGGAGCCGCCUCCUCGUCGACCCUCAUCGUCCCCGUUGCGACCCCAGGUCAGCGGGAACACCCGCUGAGUUUAAAGCAUAUCAAUAAGCGG
RNAcentral lists this ribosomal RNA (690 nucleotides) under Deidamia bicolor. RNAcentral describes it as "eukaryotic LSU rRNA". The stretch from base 282 to 437 matches the Rfam family "5.8S ribosomal RNA". Lineage: Eukaryota; Viridiplantae; Streptophyta; Magnoliopsida; Malpighiales; Passifloraceae. The record is from RNAcentral.